CCCGGUAUAGCAAAGUAAUGCGUAGGGCUUAAAACCCUAAGAUAAUAUGACUAAUCACAUUUACUGGAA
RNAcentral lists this transfer RNA (69 nucleotides) under Lysmata boggessi. RNAcentral's name for it is "tRNA-Leu". It matches the Rfam family "tRNA". Rfam says of the family: Transfer RNA (tRNA) molecules are approximately 80 nucleotides in length. Their secondary structure includes four short double-helical elements and three loops (D, anti-codon, and T loops). Further hydrogen bonds mediate the characteristic L-shaped molecular structure. tRNAs have two regions of fundamental functional importance: the anti-codon, which is responsible for specific mRNA codon recognition, and the 3' end, to which the tRNAs corresponding amino acid is attached (by aminoacyl-tRNA synthetases). tRNAs cope with the degeneracy of the genetic code in two manners: having more than one tRNA (with a specific anti-codon) for a particular amino acid; and 'wobble' base-pairing, i.e. permitting non-standard base-pairing at the 3rd anti-codon position. The record is from RNAcentral. Lineage: Eukaryota; Metazoa; Arthropoda; Malacostraca; Decapoda; Hippolytidae.